This 823-nucleotide ribosomal RNA is filed under the name uncultured bacterium. Its description in RNAcentral is "bacterial SSU rRNA". It matches the Rfam family "Bacterial small subunit ribosomal RNA", at positions 100 to 927 of the family's 1533-position model. The record is from RNAcentral.
GACGGGUGAGCAAUACUUGGGUAUCUGCCCAAUAGUGGGGGACAACACGGGGAAACUCGUGCUAAUACCGCAUACGCCCUACGGGGGAAAGCAGGCUUCGGCUUGCGCUAUCGGAUGAGCCCAAGUCGGAUUAGCUAGUUGGUGAGAUAAAAGCUCACCAAGGCGACGAUCCGUAACUGGUCUGAGAGGAUGAUCAGUCACACCGGAGCUGAGACGCGGUCCGGACUCCUACGGGAGGCAGCAGUGGGGAAUAUUGGACAAUGGGGGCAACCCUGAUCCAGCCAUGCCGCGUGUGUGAAGAAGGCCUUAGGUUUGUAAAGCACUUUCAGUGAGGAGGAAAAGUUAGUGGUUAAUACCCACUAGCCGUGACGUUACUCACAGAAGAAGCACCGGCUAACUCCGUGCCAGCAGCCGCGGUAAUACGGAGGGUGCGAGCGUUAAUCGGAAUUACUGGGCGUAAAGCGCGCGUAGGCGGUUUGUUAAGCCGGUUGUGAAAUCCCUGGGCUCAACGUAGGAACUGCACCCGGCACUGGCAAGCUAGAGUACAGUAGAGGAAGGUGGAAUUCCUAGUGUAGCGGUGAAAUGCGUCAGAUAUUUGGAGGAACAUCAGUGGCGAAGGCGGCCUUCUGGACUGAUACUGACGCUGAGGUGCGAAAGCGUGGGGAGCAAACAGGAUUAGAUACCCUGGUAGUCCACGCCGUAAACGAUGUCAAUUAGUUGUUGGAACCCUUGAGCUUUUAGUACGCAGCUAACGCAUUAAGUUGACCGCCUGGGGAGUACGGCCGCAAGGUUAAACUCAAAUGAAUUGACGGGGGCCCGCACA